RNAcentral lists this ribosomal RNA (303 nucleotides) under uncultured bacterium. RNAcentral describes it as "partial 16S ribosomal RNA". It matches the Rfam family "Bacterial small subunit ribosomal RNA", at positions 507 to 809 of the family's 1533-position model. The record is from RNAcentral.
AGCAGUCGCCGCGGUAAAACGGAGGAUCCAAGCGUUAUCCGGAAUCAUUGGGUUUAAAGGGUCCGUAGGCGGUCUUGUAAGUCAGUGGUGAAAGCCCAUCGCUCAACGGUGGAACGGCCAUUGAUACUGCAGGACUUGAAUUAUUGGGAAGUAACUAGAAUAUGUAGUGUAGCGGUGAAAUGCUUAGAGAUUACAUGGAAUACCAAUUGCGAAGGCAGGUUACUACCAAUUGAUUGACGCUGAUGGACGAAAGCGUGGGUAGCGAACAGGAUUAGAGACCCCUGUAGUCCCUGUCUCUUAUAA